This 627-nucleotide long non-coding RNA is filed under the name Homo sapiens (human). RNAcentral describes it as "long non-coding RNA NONHSAT202530.1". The record is from RNAcentral. Lineage: Eukaryota; Metazoa; Chordata; Mammalia; Primates; Hominidae.
AGUUUUUCAAGUGCCUCCUCUCCAGUCAACUGCCAGUGGGACUUCUAUGCCCCUUGGUCAGAAUGCAAUGGCUGUACCAAGACUCAGACUCGCAGGCGGUCAGUUGCUGUGUAUGGGCAGUAUGGAGGCCAGCCUUGUGUUGGAAAUGCUUUUGAAACACAGUCCUGUGAACCUACAAGAGGAUGUCCAACAGAGGAGGGAUGUGGAGAGCGUUUCAGGUGCUUUUCAGGUCAGUGCAUCAGCAAAUCAUUGGUUUGCAAUGGGGAUUCUGACUGUGAUGAAGACAGUGCUGAUGAAGACAGAUGUGAGGACUCAGAAAGGAGACCUUCCUGUGAUAUCGAUAAACCUCCUCCUAACAUAGAACUUACUGGAAAUGGAUUCAAUUCAAAACCAGCUGUUGCCAUAGAUACGAAAGAGCCAUGUGUUUCCCAAAUAUGUUCUUAGAUGGAAAGAAUGUUGGAUUUUCUGAGCCAUUAGUUUUAGUGAUUAUACCAAGCAGGGGAAGCUGGAUAAUGUAUGGUGUGUAUUAGGAUGCUGUGCUCUUCAUUUGAACUCUCUCAAAGAAGUGUUUAAGUGUAAUGCAUUUUAAGAAUUUGUAGAGUUCUGUAAUAAACUUUUUUCCCCACC